Molecule: long non-coding RNA, 406 nt
Filed under: Homo sapiens (human)
Lineage: Eukaryota; Metazoa; Chordata; Mammalia; Primates; Hominidae
Description: HSALNT0126611
Source: RNAcentral
CAGUGGCCUCCACGCCGUCGCAGCUGUCGCCCUCCGAGCUGGGCGCCGCCCGGCCGCUGCGGGCCGAGCGAAGGCUGGGUGAGUUCAUCAGUGAAACUGCCUGAUAACCGCUGCAUCCAUCAGGACUUCAGGAGAGAGGACCAAUUAUUGGAUAGUGGCCAAAGUGACAAUUUUAAUCUCUGAGCCACAGAAGGUGUACCACUGAAUUUGCUAGUGCUAAAAUGCACAAAAGAGGCAUCCCCACAAUGACCGCAGACUACAGUGUGACGGGUAUGACUGUCAGAAGACCAGCAAGACAAGCAGCAAACUGAGAAACCCGAGGAAUGAAGAGAACUGGCUGGGUGCGAACUAAUCAAACUAAUUUGGAAGAUAACAUGGCAGAAGACCCCGAGAAAGCACUGCAAAA